RNAcentral lists this ribosomal RNA (402 nucleotides) under Bos indicus (zebu cattle). Its description in RNAcentral is "partial 12S ribosomal RNA". It matches the Rfam family "Bacterial small subunit ribosomal RNA", at positions 875 to 1405 of the family's 1533-position model. The record is from RNAcentral. Lineage: Eukaryota; Metazoa; Chordata; Mammalia; Artiodactyla; Bovidae.
CACAGAUAAUUACAUAAACAAAAUUAUUCGCCAGAGUACUACUAGCAACAGCUUAAAACUCAAAGGACUUGGCGGUGCUUUAUAUCCUUCUAGAGGAGCCUGUUCUAUAAUCGAUAAACCCCGAUAAACCUCACCAAUUCUUGCUAAUACAGUCUAUAUACCGCCAUCUUCAGCAAACCCUAAAAAGGAAAAAAAGUAAGCGUAAUUAUGAUACAUAAAAACGUUAGGUCAAGGUGUAACCUAUGAAAUGGGAAGAAAUGGGCUACAUUCUCUACACUAAGAGAAUCAAGCACGAAAGUUAUUAUGAAACCAAUAACCAAAGGAGGAUUUAGCAGUAAACUAAGAAUAGAGUGCUUAGUUGAAUUAGGCCAUGAAGCACGCACACACCGCCCGUCACCCUCA